This 161-nucleotide ribosomal RNA is filed under the name Cytisus lotoides. RNAcentral describes it as "5.8S ribosomal RNA". It matches the Rfam family "5.8S ribosomal RNA". Rfam says of the family: 5.8S ribosomal RNA (5.8S rRNA) is a component of the large subunit of the eukaryotic ribosome. The record is from RNAcentral. Lineage: Eukaryota; Viridiplantae; Streptophyta; Magnoliopsida; Fabales; Fabaceae.
AGACUCUCGGCAACGGAUAUCUCGGCUCUUGCAUCGAUGAAGAACGUAGCGAAAUGCGAUACUUGGUGUGAAUUGCAGAAUCCCGUGAACCAUCGAGUCUUUGAACGCAAGUUGCGCCCAAAGCCAUUAGGCUGAGGGCACGCCUGCCUGGGUGUUGCGCA